Molecule: ribosomal RNA, 497 nt
Filed under: uncultured bacterium
Lineage: Bacteria
Description: partial 16S ribosomal RNA
Rfam family: Bacterial small subunit ribosomal RNA
Source: RNAcentral
GAUGAACGCUGGCGGCGUGCCUAAUACAUGCAAGUCGAGCGAACAGACGAGGAGCUUGCUCCUCUGACGUUAGCGGCGGAGGGGUGAGUAACACGUGGAUAACCUACCUAUCAGACUGGGAUAACUUCGGGAAACCGGCGCUAAUACCGGAUAAUAUAUUGAACCGCAUGGUUGGAUAGUGAAAGACGGUUUUGCUGGCACUUAUAGAUGGAUCCGCGCCGCAUUAGCUAGUUGGGGAGGUAACGGGUUACGAAGGCGACGAGGCGUAGCCGAGCGGAGAGGGUGGUCAGCCAGACUGGAACGGAGACACGCCACAGACUCACAGAGAAACCACCAGUACUGAUUCGUCCGCAAGGGGCGAAAGCCUUACGGAGCAACGCGGCGUGAUGGAUGAACAUCGUCGGAUGGGAAAACUCUGUUAUCAGGUAAGAACAAAUUUCGACGUAACCAUGCAGGUCUUGACGGUACCGAAUCAGAAAGCCACGGCUAACUACGUG